Molecule: ribosomal RNA, 471 nt
Filed under: uncultured bacterium
Lineage: Bacteria
Description: partial 16S ribosomal RNA
Rfam family: Bacterial small subunit ribosomal RNA
Source: RNAcentral
GACGAACGCUGGCGGCGUGCUUAACACAUGCAAGUCGAACGCUGAAGCUUGGUGCUUGCACUGGGUGGAUGAGUGGCGAACGGGUGAGUAAUACGUGAGUAACCUGCCCUUGACUCUGGGAUAAGCCUGGGAAACUGGGUCUAAUACUGGAUACGACAUGUCACCGCAUGGUGGUGUGUGGAAAGGGUUUUACUGGUUUUGGAUGGGCUCACGGCCUAUCAGCUUGUUGGUGGGGUAAUGGCUCACCAAGGCGACGACGGGUAGCCGGCCUGAGAGGGUGACCGGCCACACUGGGACUGAGACACGGCCAGACUCCUACGGGAGGCAGCAGUGGGGAAUAUUGCACAAUGGGCGGAAGCCUGAUGCAGCGACGCCGCGUGAGGGAUGACGGCCUUCGGGUUGUAAACCUCUUUCAGCACGGAAGAAGCGAAAGUGACGGUACGUGCAGAAGAAGCGCCGGCUAACUACGUG